RNAcentral lists this long non-coding RNA (1243 nucleotides) under Gossypium barbadense (sea-island cotton). RNAcentral's name for it is "long non-coding RNA (GBAR_LNC009835)". The record is from RNAcentral. Lineage: Eukaryota; Viridiplantae; Streptophyta; Magnoliopsida; Malvales; Malvaceae.
AUGACCAAUAAUGCACAAAAAUAAGCAUCAUUCAUAUUUCAUCGUUUAUGAGUUAUAAUCAAACAUAUGACCAUUUAUACACGAAUCAUUCAUAUAUUUCCCAAUUUUCCUCCUCCUCCUCUCCAUUCCACAUCCUUAAUGUGUAUAACACACUUAAACAACAUUAACCAUAAUUUCAAUAUUCACUAACAUGUAUAUUCAAAGCUGUUUAUCCGAGUCAGAGUCACUAAAUUAUUUUUAUCCGGAGCUACAGAGCUCCAAAUUAAGAUCCGUUAAUUUUUCCUGAAACUAGACUCACAUAUCUUCAUACCAUAAAAUUUUCAUAAUUUUUGGUUCAGCCAAAUAGUACAGUUUAUUCUUUAAAGUUUCCCCUGUUUCGCUGUCUGACAGUUCCGACCACUCUUCUCUAAAAAUUAAUUAUCUCAUUGUACAGAAUUCGGAUGAUGUUUUAGCUUGUUUCUUCUAAAAAUAGACUCAUUAAGGAUUCUAACCAUAUAAACUAUAACUCAUAAUAAUUUCUGUACAAUUUUUAAUGAUUUUCCAAAGUCAGAACAGGGGAACCCGAAUUCAUUCUGACCUUGUCUCACAAAAUAUAUUAUAUCUCAUGAUUUACAAUUCCAUUGCUCACAUCAUUUCUUUUAUAAGAAACUAGACUCAAUAAGCUUUAAUUUCAUAUUUUAUUCAUCCUCUAAUUCAAUCUCUACAAUUUUUGGUGAUUUUUCAAAGUUACACUACUGCUGCUGUCCAAAACUGCUUUAGUGCAAAAUGUUGAUUUCCAUUUUGCCCCAAAUUUCACAGUUUAUACAAUUCGGUCCUUUCUUAAUUAACCCCUCAAUUAAUCUAAUUUUCUCAAUUAGUACUUUACUAGACAUUAUAAGUUGUUACACAACUAUUGAAAUUCAGAAUUUCCACAUAUAACUCUAUCUUCAAACUGUUUUACUAUUAGGUCCCAAACAUUCACUUUCUAUUCAAUUCUUUCAAUAAAAUCAGCAUAUGAACAAUUUAAAGCUCUAAUUUCAUGCUAAAUCAUCAUAUACUUCCAGCACAUAUUCAUAUCAACUUUCAACUUCUUUCAUAAAAUCAAAAACUAAUGGAUUUAACAAGUGGGCCUAGUUGUAAAAGUCAUAAAAAUACAAAAAUUUCAAGAAAUAGUCAAGAAUUGAACUUACUUGUAAUAAAAAUAUGAAGAACCAGCUUGAAGAAGCCCUUCCAUGGUGUUUUAGCUGAUGAGAAUUCAAAAAAA